This 253-nucleotide ribosomal RNA is filed under the name uncultured bacterium. RNAcentral describes it as "partial 16S ribosomal RNA". It matches the Rfam family "Bacterial small subunit ribosomal RNA", at positions 524 to 776 of the family's 1533-position model. The record is from RNAcentral.
UACGUAGGGUGCGAGCGUUGUCCGGAUUUAUUGGGCGUAAAGGGCUCGUAGGCGGCCUGUCGCGUCGGGAGUGAAAGCCCACUGCUUAACGGUGGGUCUGCUUCCGGUACGGGUGGGCUGGAGUAUGGCAGGGGAGACUGGAAUUCCUGGUGUAGCGGUGGAAUGCGCAGAUAUCAGGAGGAACACCGGUGGCGAAGGCGGGUCUCUGGGCCAUUACUGACGCUGAGGAGCGAAAGCGUGGGGAGCGAACAGG